This 25-nucleotide unclassified non-coding RNA is filed under the name Mus musculus (house mouse). RNAcentral's name for it is "oocyte_clustered_small_RNA12077". Lineage: Eukaryota; Metazoa; Chordata; Mammalia; Rodentia; Muridae. The record is from RNAcentral.
UGUCUCAAGGCAUGAGCCUGCCAAG